UACAGAGGUCUCAAGCGUUGUUCGGAUUCAUUGGGCGUAAAGGGUGCGUAGGCGGCGCGGUAAGUCGGGUGUGAAAUUUCGAGGCUUAACUCCGAAACUGCAUUCGAUACUGGCGUGCUUGAGGACUGGAGAGGAGACUGGAAUUCAUGGUGUAGCAGUGAAAUGCGUAGAGAUCAUGAGGAAGACCAGUGGCGAAGGCGGGUCUCUGGGCCGAUACUGACGCUGAGGAGCGAAAGCGUGGGGAGCAAACAGG
Molecule: ribosomal RNA, 253 nt
Filed under: uncultured bacterium
Lineage: Bacteria
Description: partial 16S ribosomal RNA
Rfam family: Bacterial small subunit ribosomal RNA
Source: RNAcentral